AUGAGUCUGGGGUCAUGUGAACAUGGUUAAUAUGUCUUUGUAGCACGUGGGCCCACGAUGAAGCUCCGCCCCCACUGUGCUGGCAGUCUAGCUCCGCCCCCGCACAGAGCACUGUUGUUACAUAUUAGCGUCGCUUCUGCGGGACUGUGAAAGUAAACCAACAGCUGGAGGGAGAGAAACAGGAGGAGCUGAAGCAGGUUGUGGCUGUAAGUUUUAAGUGAAAGAGUGCUGCCUUUACGUGGCGACGGUGAAGAAGCAUAUUUACUGGACAUGUUUUUGUGUGUGAAUAAUUGAAGAAUCAGAUUCAUAGAACUGGAUUAGAGGUGAGGAUUGAGAUUUGUGCUUGCAUAAUGUGAUUUACAGUAAUCCGGGGAAUGUAUUGAUAUUGUGGUCCAGGAAAGCAUUGUUUCAGUCAUGUGGUAUAAGGUUAAAGGUUAAAUCCUGUACGAUGGAGGAAAUGUAACGUUACAGGUGUUGAUCAGUGUAAAUCCCGUAGAGACAGACCAUAUGGGUUUUUUGGGGCAGAUAAACAGGGUUAGAGAGAGACCAGAGGAGCUGCAUAGAGAUGAGAGCUGCUGUUCUGUCUAUAAGAGGUCCAGAAACACAGAACAGUCACAGAUGAAGCAGCUGCUGUUGGUUAAAAGAAACAAACCACAGUGACUCUUUUCACACCCAGCAGUCCACUCCUCCCUCCUGCCUGUUGAACAAAAGGAGUUCCUUCUGCUUUUCCUACUGAGCAGGAACUUCCUGUAUUCUGUCUGUGUUCUGACCCCACAGCUCCUCUUCAUACCUGCACAGGUAGAUCAACGACCAUCACGGCAACGACAGGAAGUGAUGUCACAGACAACGGACCCACGGAGGUCACACGGGCUCCGGAGGUCACACGGGCUCCGGAGAUGUGGAGCACAGCUGUCCAGCAGCAGCAGGUAAACAGUCUGCAGAGCUUUGUUGGAAACACAGUGAGAGUCUCCUUCAUCAUCAUCAUCAUACCUGCACUGCUGCUGAUCACCUGUUACAGAGUUUGGAGGACGAACCAAACUGAAAGACUGACAGGAGGCUGAACCAAUCAGAGAAGGAGGACACAGAGAGUCUCUAGUGUUGUUAAAGCCUUUUAUUUUUU
Micropterus salmoides (largemouth bass) is the source of this 1120-nucleotide long non-coding RNA. RefSeq lists it as uncharacterized. The record is from RefSeq and is a predicted model, not a curated record. NCBI's taxonomy places the organism in Eukaryota, Metazoa, Chordata, Actinopteri, Centrarchiformes, Centrarchidae. The transcript has 3 exons.